RNAcentral lists this non-coding RNA (726 nucleotides) under Caenorhabditis japonica. RNAcentral describes it as "Eukaryotic large subunit ribosomal RNA". It matches the Rfam family "Eukaryotic large subunit ribosomal RNA", at positions 1 to 713 of the family's 3401-position model. The record is from Rfam by way of RNAcentral. Lineage: Eukaryota; Metazoa; Nematoda; Chromadorea; Rhabditida; Rhabditidae.
CAACCUGAACUCAGUCGUGAUUACCCGCUGAACUUAAGCAUAUCAUUUAGCGGAGGAAAAGAAACUAAAAAGGAUUCCCCUAGUAACGGCGAGUGAAACGGGAAGAGCCCAGCGCCGAAUCGAUCAGUCUUUGGCUGCUUCGAAAUGUGGCGUAUAGGUGUAGUCUUCCAGCAGUGUCGUAUGUCCGAAGUCCUUGCGAUUGAGGCCAUAAACCAGAGAGGGUGCGAGCCCCGUUCUGGAUAGCGGCGCUGUUGGUUCGACUGCUCCUUGGAGUCGGGUUGCUUGAAAGUGCAGCCUAAAGUGGGUGAUAAACUUCAUCUAAGGCUAAAUAUUGACUCGAUUGCGAUAGCGAACAAGUACCGUGAGGGAAAGUUGCAAAGGACUUUGAAGAGAGAGUUCAAGAGAACGUGAAAUCGCUGGAGUGGAACCGGAGACAGUUGAUGUUGCUUGGAGACAAUCUUGGUGGCUGAUCGCUUAGCUGUGAUCGCCGCCGGGAGUCGUUUCCUAUGCUACGCCGACGGCGUUGGCCGCUCGUUCUGGCCCGACAGUGUUGCCCAUCUCGCAAGAGACGGUGUCUUGUUGUCGGUCGUUGGUUCGUGGUGGCUAGCGUUUAGUUACGCUAGUGUGUGUGACGUCGGUGUGAAAGUCGACGACGUUUCCGACCCGUCUUGAAACACGGAUUACGGAGUGUUUGUCUGCUGCAGUCAAAGGUGUAAAAACCUUGCG